RNAcentral lists this ribosomal RNA (484 nucleotides) under uncultured bacterium. RNAcentral's name for it is "partial 16S ribosomal RNA". It matches the Rfam family "Bacterial small subunit ribosomal RNA", at positions 29 to 523 of the family's 1533-position model. The record is from RNAcentral.
AGUGAACGCUGGCGGCGUGCUUAACACAUGCAAGUCGAACGAGAACGGAUUAUAGCUUGCUAUAAUUGUCAGCUAAGUGGCGCACGGGUGAGUAAUGUAUAGGUAAUAUGCCUCUUACUAAGGGAUAACAAAUGGAAACGUUUGCUAAUACCUUAUACUCCUUAUUAACAGAAGUUAAUAAGGGAAAGAUUUAUUGGUAAGAGAUUAGCCUGUAUUGUAUCAGUUAGUUGGUGGGGUAAUGGCUUACCAAGACUAUGACACAUAACUGGUUUGAGGGGAUGAGCAGUAACAGGGGAACUGAAACACGGUCCAGACUCAUACGGGAGGAGGCGGUGGGAAAUAUUGAACAAUGGAGGAAAGUCUGAUGCAGCAACGCCGCGUGGAGGAUGACACAUUUCGGUGCGUAAACUCCUUUUAUAUGAGAAGAAAAUGACGGUAUUAUAUGAAUAAGCACCGGCUAACUCCGUGCCAGCAGCCGCCGUAA